Molecule: non-coding RNA, 380 nt
Organism: Pasteurella multocida subsp. multocida str. Anand1_buffalo
Lineage: Bacteria; Pseudomonadati; Pseudomonadota; Gammaproteobacteria; Pasteurellales; Pasteurellaceae
Source: Rfam
UGAGUUGGUCAGACAAUCGCUGGUUUAUUGAAGCCCUUAACCGUCUUUAUGACGACCUAGUGGGACAAAUAGACGAGAGGAAAGUCCGAGCUACACAGGGCAGAGUGCCAGGUAACGCCUGGGAGGCGCGAGCCUACGACAAGUGCAACAGAGAGCAGACCGCCAGUUUCGGCUGGUAAGGGUGAAAGGGUGCGGUAAGAGCGCACCGCAUGGCUGGCAACAGUACAUGGCAGGGUAAACUCCACUCGUAGCAAGACCAAAUAGGAAUCCAAUGAGUGGCCCGCUCAGGAUUCGGGUAGGUUGCUUGAGCGUAUGUGCGAAUGUACGCCUAGAGGAAUGAUUGUCCGCGACAGAACUCGGCUUAUCGACCAACUCAGUAC